Molecule: long non-coding RNA, 457 nt
Filed under: Mytilus galloprovincialis (Mediterranean mussel)
Lineage: Eukaryota; Metazoa; Mollusca; Bivalvia; Mytilida; Mytilidae
Source: RNAcentral
UCCUGAUACUGUGCUGGUGGGUCCUGUCAUUGUGCUGGUGGGUCCUGAUACGGUGCUGGUGAUUUCGGAUAAGAAGUUGGUCAUAUUUGAAACAAAUGUUACAAAAUCAAUAAAAUUGGGCAGAUAAUUGUUGUCAAUAGAAUCCAUGACUCCUAUUUUAGCUCUUGUGCAUCCAUUUUGGCUGUUUAAUGUGUGUUUUCAAAUGAUCGUAACUUGUAUUACAUAAUUACAUAAAAGGGCAACAUCUGUCGUCCAAUAUCAGAUAACAAUAUAUAGUAUCUAAAAUAAGAAUAGUUUUAUUAAGAUAUUAAAUGCCCCUUACAUUGAUGCUUCAACAAUGAUCAAAGCCCAUGCCGCAUAGACAUGUUUGUUAGCGCUCCGCAUACCCCUCCCCACUUCCACCCAACCAACCCUCCUCAUUUCCUCCUUCAUUGUUACAGUGAUGUACCAACACAAC